AAAUUGUAGUUGUUUUUUUUUUAAUAACAUUUCUUGUUGAGAGACUAACCGUUUGCUACUUAGUUUGCUUCCAUAAAGCGUGCCGUUUCUGAAAAAAUCAAUUAUGCGCAACAAGCAACAAGAAAUGUAUGUUUAGACAACCUGAAACUUCCUCAUCAGGAUUAUGGUAAACAUGUUUAGAAAUGUUUGUUCUAUAAUGUAAAGUAUUGGUAGAAAUAAGCCCAAAAAUAAAGGAUAAAAACGUCCAAGCUGCUGCAUUAAGAAAAACAUAUAAUCAACAGGCCUCAACAGGUCGUUAUUUUGUUCAGCAUACUGGGCAUAAAUGCAGCCUGACCCACAUUAGAGGCCUUUCAAACAAAUGCAAGAACACAAACAAGCUCGGAUCCUUAAUCAAUGCACCAACAAUAAACAAAUGUCAAACAACAAACGCAUAAGUUAACGCAUGAAUUUUCCGAGUGACGCCAGCAGCAGUCCACCUAGACGCAGCAGCAGCAGCAACAUGGGCGCUUUGGAGACACGUUAUUGAUUGGCAUUCCCUGGAGGAGGAAUCGGCCGCAGCAAUCCGGAGGCCCUGCGACAAAAACGCACGAGCUCUGGCGACUUCAGCUGAACCAACUUCAAAAUUGGAAAUUGAACCGUUGCGCUCUUUCCAAGUUCACAUCUCGGUGUGUCCGUCUGCAGCCUGGAGAGAAAGAGUGCGGCCAGCAAGGCAGCAGCUCACAGUGCGGUGCCACAGCGCCCACUAUUUCAAAAGCCUGGAAUAUUAUUUCACAAGACACGAAAGAAUUCUAUAGAGGAAAAAAUAAAAAAGUAAAAGAAAGUUAGUAUUCCUUUCGACAACUGUCUGGACGGAAAUUUGCGCUUCUGAUUCUGCCGACGACUGAAAGGAAACAAAAAAGAUCGAGCUGAGAUUUGGACGCCGUUGUUUAUCUCAGUUCUUUUUUUUUUUAAGGAGAGAGCAAGUAAAGCACCAGCUGCGUUUUCAUCACACGAGAAACUUUGAGGCGCUGGAAGGAGAGCAGAAAAGAGCGCCGCGUGCGCGCAGGGACGCGAGGCGGAGAGCCGGAGCAGCCGGAGCAGCCGGAGCGGGACACUUUUACAGAAAAGUUUUCUGUGGACAAAGAGUCGCUUCACACUCUCUUCUGGCUAAAUGACAAGGACACGGUGGACAUCUACAAAGCCGGGAGUUUGAAGCCGGCAGCACAACGCGGAAAGGGGAGAACACCUGAUCCACGUGCAUCCAUCUGCUGCAUCCAGCCGGGAGGACAGCAAGGGGGGAAGGGGGUGUGAUGGACCUAAAUAUGUCCACCAUCUUUUUCCCUGAGCAAAACCAGUGGGAGACAGAUGGAAAAGCCUGGUUGAUCAUUACUUCAGUGCCAAAAUGGUGGGAGAAGAAAAAAACAGCACAAGGACCACACAGAGAGCGGAGGGACGCACAUCUGUGUAUAUGAAUGGACUGGUCGGCGCAAAGACUGAUUUGUGCAGUGGACCUUGGAAGUCCAUGGGCAUCUGAAGGUGGCCUUUCAUAUUGCUAAAUAGUAAGCAUGCAAAAAUAUAACUUUAUUGUUCAGCAAAGACGUCUGGAUUUGUUUGCAACAGUUUUUUCUAAUUGAAAUCAAAUAAACAAAAUAUUUGAUCAUCA
Oryzias latipes (Japanese medaka) is the source of this 1642-nucleotide non-coding RNA. The record is from RefSeq and is a predicted model, not a curated record. Lineage: Eukaryota; Metazoa; Chordata; Actinopteri; Beloniformes; Adrianichthyidae.